AACGGCCAUACCAUGCUGAAUAUACCGGUUCUCGUUAGAUCACCGAAGUCAAGCAUCAUUGGGCGCGGUCAGUACUUGGGUGGGUGACCACCUGGGAACACCGCGUGCC
This 109-nucleotide ribosomal RNA is filed under the name Caerostris darwini. Lineage: Eukaryota; Metazoa; Arthropoda; Arachnida; Araneae; Araneidae. The record is from RNAcentral.